This 433-nucleotide ribosomal RNA is filed under the name uncultured bacterium. Its description in RNAcentral is "bacterial SSU rRNA". It matches the Rfam family "Bacterial small subunit ribosomal RNA", at positions 29 to 507 of the family's 1533-position model. The record is from RNAcentral.
AACGAACGCUGGCGGCAUGCCUAACACAUGCAAGUCGAACGAGACCUUCGGGUCUAGUGGCGCACGGGUGCGUAACGCGUGGGAAUCUGCCCUUGGGUUCGGAAUAACUCAGAGAAAUUUGAGCUAAUACCGGAUGAUGACGUAAGUCCAAAGAUUUAUCGCCCAAGGAUGAGCCCGCGUAAGAUUAGCUUGUUGGUGGGGUAAUGGCCUACCAAGGCGACGAUCUUUAGCUGGUCUGAGAGGAUGAUCAGCCACACUGGGACUGAGACACGGCCCAGACUCCUACGGGAGGCAGCAGUGGGGAAUAUUGGACAAUGGGCGAAAGCCUGAUCCAGCAAUGCCGCGUGAGUGAUGAAGGCCUUAGGGUUGUAAAGCUCUUUUACCAGGGAUGAUAAUGACAGUACCUGGAGAAUAAGCUCCGGCUAACUCCGUG